RNAcentral lists this ribosomal RNA (468 nucleotides) under uncultured bacterium. Its description in RNAcentral is "partial 16S ribosomal RNA". It matches the Rfam family "Bacterial small subunit ribosomal RNA", at positions 28 to 507 of the family's 1533-position model. The record is from RNAcentral.
GACGAACGCUGGCGGCGUGCUUAACACAUGCAAGUCGAACGGAAAGGCCCUGCUUUUGUGGGGUUCUCGAGUGGCGAACGGGUGAGUAACACGUGAGUAACCUGCCCUUGACUUUGGGAUAACUUCAGGAAACUGGGGCUAAUAUCGGAUAGGAGCUCCUGCUGCAUGGUGGGGGUUGGAAAGUUUCGGCGGUUGGGGAUGGACUCGCGGCUUAUCAGCUUGUUGGUGGGGUAGUGGCUUACCAAGGCUUUGACGGGUAGCCGGCCUGAGAGGGUGACCGGCGACAUUGGGACUGCGAGACGGCCCAGACGCCUACGGGAGGCAGCAGUGGGGAAUAUUGCACAGUGGGCGGAAGCCUGAUGCAGAAGCGCCGCGUGCGGGAUGACGGCCUUCGGGUUGUAAACCGCUUUCGCCUGUGACGAAGCGGGAGUGACGGUAAUGGGUAAAGAAGCACCGGCUAACUACGUG